This 431-nucleotide ribosomal RNA is filed under the name uncultured bacterium. RNAcentral describes it as "bacterial SSU rRNA". It matches the Rfam family "Bacterial small subunit ribosomal RNA", at positions 355 to 796 of the family's 1533-position model. The record is from RNAcentral.
UCGAGGAUCUUCGGCAAUGGGCGCAAGCCUGACCGAGCGACGCCGCGUGUGCGAUGAAGGCCUUCGGGUUGUAAAGCACUGUCGAGGGGGAGGAAGCCGCAAGGUUGACCUAUCCCUGGAGGAAGCACGGGCUAAGUUCGUGCCAGCAGCCGCGGUAAGACGAACCGUGCGAACGUUGUUCGGAAUCACUGGGCUUAAAGGGCGCGUAGGCGGGCCGGCCAGUCUGUGGUGAAAUCCCCCGGCUUAACCGGGGAAUUGCCGUGGAUACUGCCGGCCUCGAGGAGGGUAGGGGCACCUGGAACUAGCGGUGGAGCGGUGAAAUGCGUUGAUAUCGCUAGGAACUCCGGUGGCGAAGGCGAGGUGCUGGACCCUUUCUGACGCUGAGGCGCGAAAGCCAGGGGAGCAAACGGGAUUAGAUACCCCCGUAGUCC